UUUUUUUGUACAAAUGUCACAAUCAUAUCGGGUAAAAUAUUUGAAUUUAUUUUUGGUUUAUAAUUUUUUAACACAAAAUUAUCUAUUAAAAAGAAAGGCUUUUUCCAAAAUUGACCUACAACUCAAAGUCAAACACAAAAUUAACCUCCUUUUAUUUGGAAAUUAGUUUUUCCCUAUUCACCCCACAAGUUCAUAUAAUUCACGAAAAUGCCAUCAAUUUUUUUUUUAAUUUUUUUUUUGAAAAUGACAUUUUUACUCUCUCACCCUCAUCAUCUUUAAGUAAUUACAAGAUUGUCAUUGUCAUCAAUACCAUUACCACCAUGAACAACCGAUUUGAACCUCUUAAUGCUUCCAAGAUCGAUUUACCCUUCUUCUUUCUCCAUUCUUAUGAACUAAAC
Molecule: long non-coding RNA, 398 nt
Filed under: Brassica rapa (field mustard)
Lineage: Eukaryota; Viridiplantae; Streptophyta; Magnoliopsida; Brassicales; Brassicaceae
Description: long non-coding RNA (BRAP_LNC004790)
Source: RNAcentral